RNAcentral lists this transfer RNA (88 nucleotides) under Chloroflexota bacterium. Its description in RNAcentral is "tRNA-Ser". It matches the Rfam family "tRNA". From Rfam's summary of the family: Transfer RNA (tRNA) molecules are approximately 80 nucleotides in length. Their secondary structure includes four short double-helical elements and three loops (D, anti-codon, and T loops). Lineage: Bacteria; Bacillati; Chloroflexota. RNAcentral also lists the same sequence under 3 other names. The record is from RNAcentral.
GGGAAGGUGCCAGAGUGGUUGAAUGGGACGGUCUCGAAAACCGUUGUGGGACUUGUUUCCACCGAGGGUUCGAAUCCCUCCCUUCCCG